This 957-nucleotide long non-coding RNA is filed under the name Homo sapiens (human). Its description in RNAcentral is "HSALNT0334675". Lineage: Eukaryota; Metazoa; Chordata; Mammalia; Primates; Hominidae. The record is from RNAcentral.
CUCCGUAUAAAACCCGAUUGUACAUUUGUUCAAUUCUGAGAUGAGAGAAAAACUGCCCUAUGGUGGGAAGUAAGACAUGUUUGCAGCAAUGCUGCCUUGUUAUUCUUUACCCCACUGAGAUGUUUGGGUGGAAAGAAACAUAAAUCUGGCUUACGAGCGCGUCCAGUCAUAGUACCUUCCCUUGAACUUAAUUAUGACGUAGAUUCUAUUGCUCACAUGUUUGUUGCUGACCUUCUCCUUAUUAUCACCCUGCCCUCCUACUACAUUCCUUUUUGCUGAAAUAAUGACAAUAAUAAUCAAUAAAAACUGAGGGAACUCAGAGACCGGUCCCGGUGCAGGUCCUUGAUUUUGAAAGACCAUGGAGAGGAUUUUCUUGUUGGCAACAAAUUCAGCUGGGCAGACAUACAGCUGUUAGAAGCUAUUUUAAUGGUGGAAGAACUCAAAGCUUCUGUUCUUUCUGACUUCCCUCUGCUAAAGGUUCGAGUGCAGUGGCAUGAUCAUGGCUCACUGCAGACUUGACCUCUUGGCCUCAAGCGAUCCUCCCACCUCAUCCUCCAGAGUAGCUGGGACCACAGGCAUUUAAAAUAAGAAUCAGCAACAUCCCUACAAUUAAGAAGUUCCUGCAGCCUGGGAGUCAGAGGAAGCCACCCCCGAUACCCACUAUGUUGAACUUGCCAGGAAGAUAGUGCUGCUCUAAUGGCAGCAGGUUGCGUGAUGACAAACAUGAUGAUCCAGUCACAGCACCAGCAUGUGCUGUCUGCAGAGGAUAAUAGAAGCAAACUGUAGAUCCCAGGAGCAAAGUGUCUGAAAAGAACAAAACCAUGCUGCCAUUAACAGCAACGCUGAUUAAAUGUAGUAUAAAAUCAUUCAGAUGUGUGUGGCUUUUUAAAGUCUGUCAGUUGUGGAUGAUAGUCUACAACUUUUAUGAAAUAAAUGUUCUGUAUAAAUAAAUAGGAG